Transfer RNA from Felis catus (domestic cat), 85 nucleotides. It matches the Rfam family "tRNA". Rfam says of the family: Transfer RNA (tRNA) molecules are approximately 80 nucleotides in length. The record is from Rfam. NCBI's taxonomy places the organism in Eukaryota, Metazoa, Chordata, Mammalia, Carnivora, Felidae.
GCCUGGGUGGCUCAGUCAGUUGAGCGACUGACUUCAGCUCAGGUCAUGAUCUCAGGGUUUGUGGGUUCGAGCCCCACAUCACGCU